This 207-nucleotide ribosomal RNA is filed under the name uncultured bacterium. RNAcentral's name for it is "partial 16S ribosomal RNA". It matches the Rfam family "Bacterial small subunit ribosomal RNA", at positions 568 to 774 of the family's 1533-position model. The record is from RNAcentral.
AGCGCAGGCGGACCGGCAAGUUGGAAGUGAAAACUAUGGGCUCAACCCAUAAAUUGCUUUCAAAAUUGCUGGCCUUGAGUAGUGCAGAGGUAGGUGGAAUUCCCGGUGUAGCGGUGGAAUGCGUAGAUAUCGGGAGGAACACCAGUGGCGAAGGCGACCUACUGGGCACCAACUGACGCUGAGGCUCGAAAGCAUGGGUAGCAAACA